CCUACGGGAGGCAGCAGUGGGGAAUAUUGGGCAAUGGAGGAAACUCUGACCCAGCGACGCCGCGUGCGGGAUGAAGGCCUUCGGGUUGUAAACCGCUUUCAGUAGGGAAGAAGCGAAAGUGACGGUACCUACAGAAGAAGCACCGGCUAACUAUGUGCCAGCAGCCGCGGUAAUACAUAGGGUGCAAGCGUUGUCCGGAAUUAUUGGGCGUAAAGAGCUCGUAGGUGGUUCGUCACGUCGGAUGUGAAAAUCUGGGGCUCAACCCCAGACCUGCAUUCGAUACGGGCGAUCUAGAGUGUGGUAGGGGAGACUGGAAUUCCUGGUGUAGCGGUGGAAUGCGCAGAUAUCAGGAGGAACACCAAUGGCGAAGGCAGGUCUCUGGGCCAUUACUGACACUGAGGAGCGAAAGCGUGGGGAGCGAACAGGAUUAGAUACCCUGGUAGUCCACGCCGUAAACGGUGGGCACUAGUUGUGGGAACCUUCCACGGUUUCUGCGACGCAGCUACGCAUAGUCGCCCGCCGUCGGGAGGUACGAGCGCGAAGAAUUAAACUAACAAUAGAAGUUAGACGGCGUGAGACGUACGACCGACGGACGACGACGAGGGAGGUUAGG
This 613-nucleotide ribosomal RNA is filed under the name uncultured bacterium. RNAcentral's name for it is "bacterial SSU rRNA". The stretch from base 1 to 521 matches the Rfam family "Bacterial small subunit ribosomal RNA", at positions 338 to 873 of the family's 1533-position model. The record is from RNAcentral.